AAUAUCCGGGCAAGUCCUACACGGCCAGCUCCCCACGAAUCCCCCCAGGGCUUGAUCGCAGCAAGGGUAGUGGGUUGUAGCGGCGCGAUGUAGACAGCUUGCCCACCC
This is a non-coding RNA of Porphyromonas sp. HMSC065F10, 108 nucleotides long. The record is from Rfam. NCBI's taxonomy places the organism in Bacteria, Pseudomonadati, Bacteroidota, Bacteroidia, Bacteroidales, Porphyromonadaceae.